This 592-nucleotide ribosomal RNA is filed under the name Streptomyces sp. FXJ1.069. RNAcentral's name for it is "bacterial SSU rRNA". It matches the Rfam family "Bacterial small subunit ribosomal RNA", at positions 158 to 764 of the family's 1533-position model. The record is from RNAcentral. Lineage: Bacteria; Bacillati; Actinomycetota; Actinomycetes; Kitasatosporales; Streptomycetaceae.
GGGGUCUAAUACCGGAUAUGACCUGGGGAUGCAUGUUCCCGGGUGGAAAGCUCCGGCGGUGCAGGAUGAGCCCGCGGCCUAUCAGCUUGUUGGUGGGGUGAUGGCCUACCAAGGCGACGACGGGUAGCCGGCCUGAGAGGGCGACCGGCCACACUGGGACUGAGACACGGCCCAGACUCCUACGGGAGGCAGCAGUGGGGAAUAUUGCACAAUGGGCGAAAGCCUGAUGCAGCGACGCCGCGUGAGGGAUGACGGCCUUCGGGUUGUAAACCUCUUUCAGCAGGGAAGAAGCGCAAGUGACGGUACCUGCAGAAGAAGCACCGGCUAACUACGUGCCAGCAGCCGCGGUAAUACGUAGGGUGCGAGCGUUGUCCGGAAUUAUUGGGCGUAAAGAGCUCGUAGGCGGCUUGUCGCGUCGGAUGUGAAAGCCCGGGGCUUAACUCCGGGUCUGCAUUCGAUACGGGCAGGCUAGAGUUCGGUAGGGGAGAUCGGAAUUCCUGGUGUAGCGGUGAAAUGCGCAGAUAUCAGGAGGAACACCGGUGGCGAAGGCGGAUCUCUGGGCCGAUACUGACGCUGAGGAGCGAAAGCGUGG